GGGGUGAAAGGCCAAUCAAACCGGGAGAUAGCUGGUUCUCCCCGAAAGCUAUUUAGGUAGCGCCUCGUGAAUUCAUCUUCGGGGGUAGAGCACUGUUUCGGCUAGGGGGUCAUCCCGACUUACCAACCCGAUGCAAACUACGAAUACCGAAGAAUGUUAUCACGGGAGACACACGGCGGGUGCUAACGUCCGUCGUGAAGAGGGAAACAACCCAGACCGCCAGCUAAGGUCCCAAAGUCAUGGUUAAGUGGGAAACGAUGUGGGAAGGCACAGACAGCCAGGAUGUUGGCUUAGAAGCAGCCAUCAUUUAAAGAAAGCGUAAUAGCUCACUGGUCGAGUCGGCCUGCGCGGAAGAUGUAACGGGGCUAAACCAUGCACCGAAGCUGCGGCAGCGACACUAUGUGUUGUUGGGUAGGGGAGCGUUCUGUAAGCCUGCGAAGGUGACCUGUGAGGGUUGCUGGAGGUAUCAGAAGUGCGAAUGCUGACAUAAGUAACGAUAAAGCGGGUGAAAAGCCCGCUCGCCGGAAGACCAAGGGUUCCUGUCCAACGUUAAUCGGGGCAGGGUGAGUCGACCCCUAAGGCGAGGCCGAAAGGCGUAGUCGAUGGGAAACAGGUUAAUAUUCCUGUACUUGGUGUUACUGCGAAGGGGGGACGGAGAAGGCUAUGUUAGCCGGGCGACGGUUGUCCCGGUUUAAGCAUGUAGGCUGGUUAUCCAGGCAAAUCCGGAUAAUCAAGGCUGAGGUGUGAUGACGAGGCACUACGGUGCUGAAGUAACAAAUGCCCUGCUUCCAGGAAAAGCCUCUAAGCAUCAGGUAACAUCAAAUCGUACCCCAAACCGACACAGGUGGUCAGGUAGAGAAUACCAAGGCGCUUGAGAGAACUCGGGUGAAGGAACUAGGCAAAAUGGUGCCGUAACUUCGGGAGAAGGCACGCUGGUGUGUAGGUGAAGUCCCUGCGGAUGGAGCUGAGACCAGUCGAAGAUACCAGCUGGCUGCAACUGUUUAUUAAAAACACAGCACUGUGCAAACACGAAAGUGGACGUAUACGGUGUGACGCCUGCCCGGUGCCGGAAGGUUAAUUGAUGGGGUUAUCCGUAAGGAGAAGCUCUUGAUCGAAGCCCCGGUAAACGGCGGCCGUAACUAUAACGGUCCUAAGGUAGCGAAAUUCCUUGUCGGGUAAGUUCCGACCUGCACGAAUGGCGUAAUGAUGGCCAGGCUGUCUCCACCCGAGACUCAGUGAAAUUGAACUCGCUGUGAAGAUGCAGUGUACCCGCGGCAAGACGGAAAGACCCCGUGAACCUUUACUAUAGCUUGACACUGAACAUUGAGCCUUGAUGUGUAGGAUAGGUGGGAGGCUUUGAAGCGUGGACGCCAGUCUGCGUGGAGCCAACCUUGAAAUACCACCCUUUAAUGUUUGAUGUUCUAACGUUGGCCCCUGACCGGGGUUGCGGACAGUGUCUGGUGGGUAGUUUGACUGGGGCGGUCUCCUCCCAAAGCGUAACGGAGGAGCACGAAGGUUAGCUAAUCCUGGUCGGACAUCAGGAGGUUAGUGCAAUGGCAUAAGCUAGCUUGACUGCGAGCGUGACGGCGCGAGCAGGUGCGAAAGCAGGUCAUAGUGAUCCGGUGGUUCUGAAUGGAAGGGCCAUCGCUCAACGGAUAAAAGGUACUCCGGGGAUAACAGGCUGAUACCGCCCAAGAGUUCAUAUCGACGGCGGUGUUUGGCACCUCGAUGUCGGCUCAUCACAUCCUGGGGCUGAAGUAGGUCCCAAGGGUAUGGCUGUUCGCCAUUUAAAGUGGUACGCGAGCUGGGUUUAGAACGUCGUGAGACAGUUCGGUCCCUAUCUGCCGUGGGCGCUGGAGAAUUGAGGGGGGCUGCUCCUAGUACGAGAGGACCGGAGUGGACGCAUCACUGGUGUUCGGGUUGUCAUGCCAAUGGCACUGCCCGGUAGCUAAAUGCGGAAGAGAUAAGUGCUGAAAGCAUCUAAGCACGAAACUUGCCCCGAGAUGAGUUCUCCCUGAGACUUUAAGUCUCCUGAAGGAACGUUAAAGACGAUGACGUUGAUAGGCCGGGUGUGUAAGCGCAGCGAUGCGUUGAGCUAACCGGUACUAAUGAACCGUGAGGCUUAACCUU
RNAcentral lists this ribosomal RNA (2130 nucleotides) under Klebsiella pneumoniae MGH 35. RNAcentral describes it as "bacterial LSU rRNA". It matches the Rfam family "Bacterial large subunit ribosomal RNA", at positions 818 to 2925 of the family's 2925-position model. Lineage: Bacteria; Pseudomonadati; Pseudomonadota; Gammaproteobacteria; Enterobacterales; Enterobacteriaceae. The record is from RNAcentral.